GGAGUUCUUGAGCUGUGAAGGUCCAUCUUCUUCCUUCUUCUCCCUUUCAGCCAACCUUCUGCCUCCCUGCGAGCUAGCACUCCCCAGGAAGCUGAUCAUUCCGGAGCUUUGCAUGGACGAGUCAUCGAGGCCGGAUGCUUGUGCGGCUGCGAAGCAUCCUUAAAGGAACCUCCUUCUAAAGUUCGGUAGGGAGCCAACAAUAGUUGAAUCUUUUAAUCGGACGCAGAAGACAAAACAAGGCAUGAGAGGAUAUGUGGAAAAGAGAAGUGAAGCUGUCAUGAUAAAGUAUUCAGCUGAAUACUCCAAAAAAUAUGGUGAUGCCUCCACCUCAGCUGCUCCACCACAUAAUUAUGACUUAUGGUUUGAGGCAACUGGUGUCCCAACUCAUGGCUAUGUCUAUAUAUGGCUUUAGUCCCAUGGAGAAUCUCACUAGAAUUAUUGGGCAAUCAUCAUCCUCUUCCACUUCUACAAAUCAAGAUCCAGAGCUGUACAUGCGUGAAGACUUUCUAGGUAUUCUUGAGCACGAAAAGAAAAAAUGGCAAGAGGAGAUUCUCCAAAAGAUGAGAGAAGAGAUUAGCUUUGGACCAAGGUAUGCAGAUCAGGGGAGUAAUGGUGAUUCUGGUUCUGCUGAUCAUGCUUCAUUAUGAUUGCUUUUGCCUUAGAUGAUAGGUCUUUGCAUUCCUAGGAGGAAGGAAAUCUCUGUUGAUCUCUAUGAUAUACUUUAAGACUUUGAUUUUGAUGGAUUUAGGACAUGUUGAUACCUAUUUUGAAUGACAUGUUAAAUGACUUUUG
This is a non-coding RNA of Phoenix dactylifera (date palm), 792 nucleotides long. The record is from RefSeq and is a predicted model, not a curated record. NCBI's taxonomy places the organism in Eukaryota, Viridiplantae, Streptophyta, Magnoliopsida, Arecales, Arecaceae.